AAACGAAGAACAAAGGAGAAACAGAAGUGAAAGAGGAGGAGGAGCCAAGCCGCAAUGUUUAGGAUGUACCGGUGUCCCAAGCUGGUGGAUGUCCCGGUGGUGGUGGAGCUGCCCUUUGUCAUGUACAAAAUGGCACCUUUCACCUUAAAAGGCCACGAUUCGAGUCCCGCCCAGCUGAUGCAAACUUCCAAGCCCUGCCCAUCCUGCAGCCCCCGCGAGUGAUCCUGUACGCCCUGCCGCUGCUGCCGCUCCUGCUGGUGGUGACCCUGACAAUGAGAGUCAACCUGUGCUCUGUUCUCAGGGACUUUUACCAUUAUCGUGUGCUGUGAGAGGAGUAGAGCACUGUCUGGCUGUCCCCCUACCCCCACCGCCCGCUCUCUCUCUCUCUCUCUCUCUCUGUCUUGUAUCAUAUUGCACCUUUUUGUGUGUUAAAUAGUUUAAAUAAAGGAAAAUAUAAGGAAAAUGUUGACUAAUUAUUACUAUUAUUAUUAUUAUUAUAAUUAUUAUAAUUAUUAUAAUUAUUAUUAUUAUCGUUAUUAUUGUUGUUGUUGUUGUUGUUGUUGUUGUUGUUGUUGUUUUGACGUGUACAAGAUGGUAUAUAAAUAAUUUGCCUGUAUGUUGUGUUACUACUUAUGAAUGUGUGUGUGUGUGUGUGUGUGUGUGUGUGUGUGUGUGUGUGUGUGUGUGUGACCAGCUGAUUUGAAUAGGAAAAAUGCAAAUAAUUAUUAAAAAAAAUGAGGACUAAUAGUAAUAAUGAAGCUUGUGAUUUGUGAACUGAAUAAAUACUCUAAUAAAAAUGA
Portunus trituberculatus (swimming crab) is the source of this 800-nucleotide long non-coding RNA. RefSeq lists it as uncharacterized. Lineage: Eukaryota; Metazoa; Arthropoda; Malacostraca; Decapoda; Portunidae. The transcript has 3 exons. The record is from RefSeq and is a predicted model, not a curated record.